GAUGAACGCUGGCGGCGUGCCUAAUACAUGCAAGUCGAGCGAACAGACGAGGAGCUUGCUCCUCUGACGUUAGCGGCGGACGGGUGAGUAACACGUGGAUAACCUACCUAUAAGACUGGGAUAACUUCGGGAAACCGGAGCUAAUACCGGAUAAUAUAUUGAACCGCAUGGUUCAAUAGUGAAAGACGGUUUUGCUGUCACUUAUAGAUGGAUCCGCGCCGCAUUAGCUAGUUGGUAAGGUAACGGCUUACCAAGGCAACGAUGCGUAGCCGACCUGAGAGGGUGAUCGGCCACACUGGAACUGAGACACGGUCCAGACUCCUACGGGAGGCAGCAGUAGGGAAUCUUCCGCAAUGGGCGAAAGCUUGACGGAGCAACGCCGCGUGAGUGAUGAAGGUCUUCGGAUCGUAAAACUCUGUUAUUAGGGAAGAACAAAUGUGUAAGUAACUAUGCACGCCUUGACGGUACCUAAUCAGAAAGCCACAGCUAACUACGUG
Molecule: ribosomal RNA, 497 nt
Filed under: uncultured bacterium
Lineage: Bacteria
Description: partial 16S ribosomal RNA
Rfam family: Bacterial small subunit ribosomal RNA
Source: RNAcentral